Non-coding RNA from Lepisosteus oculatus (spotted gar), 208 nucleotides. The record is from RefSeq and is a predicted model, not a curated record. Lineage: Eukaryota; Metazoa; Chordata; Actinopteri; Semionotiformes; Lepisosteidae.
CUGGGGUAUAAAUAACCGAGCCCUUUGUUCACACCAGACAUUUUGUGUGUUUACACGGAAGAGCGAGGAGUAAAAUUCCAGUGCAAGGCAAAGCCAACAACUAUAUUGCAACCAUGCAGAUCUUCGUGAAGACCCUGACUGGCAAGACCAUCACCCUGGAGGUUGAGCCCAGUGACACCAUUGAGAACGUGAAGGCAAAGAUCCAGGA